AGGCUAGACACAAAUUCAUUCUUGAAUAGAAAAAUCAAAAUACAACUCCAGUCCAAAAAUUGAUUGCACUACAUUAAUUUGCAAGACAUAAGAGAUGUACAUUUAUACUAUAGCUCAUAAAAGAAACCUUUCAAAUAAGCCAUGAUAUUGGGCUUAGGGCCUAGGCCCAGACUUGUCACAAUUAUUUUUUUCCUCUCUGGGCUAAUAUGCAAGUCUGACCCAUAUUAAACCAAAAAAUGGGCCUUGAAGAUCUGGCCCAUGGCCUUGGCCAUUACCAUGCUUGAAAAAUUCAAUAAUAAAAUGAUUACACAUCUAAGCAGUAGUUGUUUGAAAUCACGAAACCAAGACUUCAUAUAUUACAAUACUCCAAAUAAAAUGAAAGCUUUCCCAAAUUACAUUAUAACCUAUUAAUACAUGAAAUAACUACAUAAACGAGACUAAUCUAUUACAAGUUUCUGUAUAAUUAAUAACCUAAAGAAUGCUUUGCCUUUUUUGAACAUGACUUGUCUAUCAAAGUUGGGCCUCUUCUUGUGUUAGAACAGUAGGAUCCAAACAUUAGCUCUUGAGCAUGCUAAUUUGGUCAACUAGCGACCAAAUCUACAGGUAUUAGCUCAGGUUUAGCUAACAUCUUUAUGGCCAUUUUCAUACCCCAAACAACAAAAUAACACACGGGUUUCAGCAUAUUAUCAUGUCUAAUCCUUGGCUCUAACAUAUGUCGAAUUGGCCAAUCAAUGGCCAAAUCUACAAGUUAUAGCAUACUUGAUCUCAAACAAAGCAAACAUUAUAUUAUAAGUCAUUUAUGAGCAUGGAAGGUAUGGACAACAACUUUAAUAGCUAAAAUAAAGAAAAAUCAGCAUAGAGUUUCCACUUAGCAAAUUCAGGUUCUUUAACAUCUUUUAGGAAGAUCACAAGUAUCAAACUUACACAAUGUUCAUAAUAGUAUAUCUCAACUUGCAAUCAUAUCAACAAAGUUUAGAGUAUGCUAAUCAAACAAACAUAAAAGAAAGCACUUGUUUGCUACACAAAUUCUUGUAACCUUGAUAUUUAUAAUUCAUCAAUCAAAACAGUUACAUGGAGGAGGUUUUGAAUCAGUACCUUAAACAGCAAAAGAUGAGCAACUCCUAAGAUAAGAAGGCACUGAUUAAAGAACCUCCCUCCCCCCCUCAAUAAAAAAGAGCAGCAACAUAACUCAAAAACAAGCCAGCAAACGAGUGAACGACGGAGUUUCAAAACUAAAACCAGCCACUUGAAAGCCAGAAAUUUCAACCACAUAACCCUAGAAAACCGCCUAUUUCAAAUCAUUUCUAGCUUGUUAAAAAAAGGAGAGAUGUUUCUAGAAAUUUUCUGAGAUUUUCUCAAGUCUAAAAUUUUCAGAGAAAAUAGUAAUUUUAUGCAGAGAAUAAUGCUAAUGAUUUCCUUGUGAGUGAUGGAAUGUUUUCCUUUUAUAGAGUGCACAAAAAGCAUCAAAAGAAAGGAAUAUUCUGACCUAGUACAACAUCUUUUUACAAUUGUAUUAUUCUUUUUCCUUAUCCAAAAUCAGCAUUUGCUAAGGAUAAGGACAAUUAUCCUAAGUUCUAGAACUUCCUAAUUUUAUCUAACGUGAAACUCUAAUUUUACCCUUUGAAUUACCACCUAUUUCAAUUCUAUCCUAAACUUUUAGGUUCAGUUAAUUCCUUAAAGUUUCUAAUUAUGGGCAAAUCAGAACAAACAAGGACAAGCCUGGAAAUGAUUGAAAAUUUUAGAUCAAAAUGCCUAAGAGGAUCAAAUGGAUGCAAUCUAAACCAACCGAAGGAAAUGCUUAAUUUAUCAAGCCUAAACCAGAAUUGAAACUAACAAAUAAUGCACUUAAAUAGCAAUCAAAACAAAAUCAAAGAUGCAAUCGCACAAAAAAGCCUAGAAUUCAACAUAUAUCAGUUUGUAAAACUUAAACAAAUGAAACAACCACAACCUAAAUACUUGUUAAUUCUCCUAGAAUAAGAUAUUAGAUCAGUUUAGGAAAACAAAACAAACACUUGAAAUAUUGAAUCAUAGAAAUGAACCGUAGGCUAACUAAAAUCGAGCAAUUGAAAACAUGUUUUUUUCCCAUUCUUUUUUUUAAUAUAAUAAACAAAAACAAUUAUUAAACAAAGCUAAAGAUAUGUGAAUCAACAGAAAAAGAAUCUAAAAUAGCCUAACUAGAACAUGCAGUCAUAAUAAAAAUAAUUAAACAUAUAAAAGAAGAACAAAAGGUAAAACAAACAACAGAAGAAAAGAAAGAAAUUUACCUAAGUUUUAUUUCAAACUGGAUCAGUUAUGAACUCCUUCAAAUCCUUAAAGCAUGAAUGGACUUUAGCUGCCAUUAAUCGAUUGUUCUUAACAAAAACAAUCGACUAAUGGAGGUUUUGAGUUCAUUUGACCAAAUAUAGACCGAGAAAAGAGGAAAGAAAAAAUUAAGAUUUCGAGUCUUAGAUUCGAAAUUAGGGCGACUAUGGGCUUGUUCGAAAGUAAUUAUGGGGAUAUUUGGGGAAAGGAUGAGAAGGUGAUUAUAUAGUGUGAAUUUGGUGGGAUUUGGAGCGGUUAAGGUUUUGGCUGUGAUUUUUUAUCUAAGAUUCGAGGAUUUUGGCUGGGAUUCGAGGGGAAAGGAUUGGAGAUUUGAAAUGAAGAGGUUAUGGGAAAUUCAUGGUGAAAACUUGGAGAAGAUUAGCGGUGAUCCGCCGCCGUGAGGCGAUUUCCAACAUGCGGACCAGCGGAAUAGGACAGAAACGGCAAUGGGUGAGAGGAUGGUUAGGGUUUAAAGUUUAGAGAGAGUAGAGACGGUGAGUGAGGGGUCUUUAGGGGGGGUAGGGGGUUUGUCUGAGAGUGGGUUGGACGGGUGGACUAGUUUGAGCUUG
RNAcentral lists this long non-coding RNA (2870 nucleotides) under Nicotiana benthamiana. Its description in RNAcentral is "long non-coding RNA (NBEN_LNC035732)". The record is from RNAcentral. Lineage: Eukaryota; Viridiplantae; Streptophyta; Magnoliopsida; Solanales; Solanaceae.